UGGGUAAAUAAUAUCAUUCCGCUAUUCGCACCACUGUAAAAAAAUUGAUAAGCCGUUGCUGGAUUUGAGUCGAUAAAUUCACACCAAAAUAAGCUUAUGUAUGCAUAAGCUCAUAUUGUGGGAGGACGGAUGGAUGGAGAGAUGCAUCGCAAAUCUAAAUCUAAUUCGUUGUCAGUGUUCUGAUUCAGGUGAAAUGAACGAAUUCAAGCUACAUCCACUGGAUAAAUGACCCUACUCGAUAACCCCGCACAAGAAAAUGUCAUCACUACAAUUUGUCUUUAAGAGCUAAACCUUAUUUCGUCCCCCAAAUCUCGUCACCUUUCCACGCCCUCUCGUCACAUUAAUAUUUAUUUAACCGCUUAAAUAAAUAAAUCACUACAUAAUAAAUAAAUACACAUGUACUGACCAUCUCAACCGUAAAAAAUUAAUAAUACAUAAUCAGAUCAUCCUCACACAACUGCCAUGCAGAUUCAAUCCAAACCACAACAAAACGCUGUAUAAUUACAAAAUUACAAUCUCUUGCGUCACUGCCCAAAGCCAGGUUCAUGGUCAUUAUCUCAUCUCAUGCAGCCAUCCUGGUUAAACAAUUCACGGUUAAGUUUUUAUGUCCAAAAUAUCAUGUUCCUUAACCAACCAAUUUUUUAUACCGGUCUUCUUCUGACGUAAAUAUACGCCACCAGGACACCCGUCCUGGUUUACUCACGUGUGGAUUGAAUCACGCCGAAAAUUAAUAAAUUAUAAUGUGACUGACGUAUGUAAAAUCAAGUUAAAUGUCUCACCAUUUUUUUCCAAAAUGCACUCCAGUCCAAUUAAUCCAGUCUCAAUCAAACCCGGAUAAAUAAUAGUAUAUAAAUCCAUUUGGUCAAAUUUUACGAAAAUAUUACUAAGAAAUAAACAAACAAUUCGUUAAAAAA
Folsomia candida is the source of this 914-nucleotide long non-coding RNA. RefSeq lists it as uncharacterized. The transcript has 3 exons. Lineage: Eukaryota; Metazoa; Arthropoda; Collembola; Entomobryomorpha; Isotomidae. The record is from RefSeq and is a predicted model, not a curated record.